CGAUGGGUGAGUAACACGUAUCCAACCUGCCGUCUACUCUUGGACAGCCUUCUGAAAGGAAAGAUUAAUACAAGAUGGCAUCAUGAGUUCACAUGUUCACAUGAUUAAAGGUAUUCCGGUAGACGAUGGGGAUGCGUUCCAUUAGAUAGUAGGCGGGGUAACGGCCCACCUAGUCUUCGAUGGAUAGGGGUUCUGAGAGGAAGGUCCCCCACAUUGGAACUGAGACACGGUCCAA
This 235-nucleotide ribosomal RNA is filed under the name uncultured bacterium. RNAcentral describes it as "partial 16S ribosomal RNA". It matches the Rfam family "Bacterial small subunit ribosomal RNA", at positions 102 to 334 of the family's 1533-position model. The record is from RNAcentral.